GGGCUGNCCACUGACAUACGUUAAAGGGCCGCGGUAUUUUGACCGUGCGAAGGUAGCAUAAUCAUUAGUCUUUUAAUUGGAGGCUUGUAUGAAUGGUUGGACAAAAAAUAAGCUGUCUCUGUUUUAAAUCUUGAAUUUAACUUUUAAGUGAAAAGGCUUAAAUGGUCUGGGGGGACGAUAAGACCCUAUAAAGCUUUACAGNUUGUUGAUUAAAUUAUAAAUUGUUAGUGUGAACUUAAUUUAUUUGAUAGCUGUUUCGUUGGGGCGACGAAAAUAUAAUAAAUAGUAACUGUUUUUCUUUUAUAAUAACAAUGAUUUUUGGUAGUAAUUGAUCCUUUAUUAAAGAUUAAAAGAUUAAGUUACUUUAGGGAUAACAGCGUAAUCUUCUUUGAGAGUCCAUAUCGACAAGAAGGGUUGCGACCUCGAAGUAGAAUUAAGGUUUCCUNGAGGAGUAGCAGUUUCAUGGG
RNAcentral lists this ribosomal RNA (467 nucleotides) under Metapenaeus ensis. RNAcentral describes it as "partial 16S ribosomal RNA". It matches the Rfam family "Bacterial large subunit ribosomal RNA", at positions 1902 to 2571 of the family's 2925-position model. The record is from RNAcentral. Lineage: Eukaryota; Metazoa; Arthropoda; Malacostraca; Decapoda; Penaeidae.